Molecule: ribosomal RNA, 454 nt
Filed under: uncultured Oscillospiraceae bacterium
Lineage: Bacteria; Bacillati; Bacillota; Clostridia; Eubacteriales; Oscillospiraceae
Description: bacterial SSU rRNA
Rfam family: Bacterial small subunit ribosomal RNA
Source: RNAcentral
ACGGAAGGCAGCAGUGAGGAAUAUUGGUCAAUGGGCGGAAGCCUGAACCAGCCAUGCCGCGUGAAGGAUUAAGGCCCUAUGGGUCGUAAACUUCUUUUGUACGGGAGCAAUAAGGUCCACGUGUGGACUGAUGAGAGUACCGUACGAAUAAGCAUCGGCUAACUCCGUGCCAGCAGCCGCGGUAAUACGGAGGAUGCGAGCGUUAUCCGGAUUUACUGGGUGUAAAGGGCGUGUAGGCGGGACAUCAAGUCAGAUGUGAAAGCACGAGGCUCAACUUCGUGUCUGCAUUUGAAACUGACGUUCUUGAGUGUUGGAGAGGCUAACGGAACUCCUAGUGUAGCGGUGAAAUGCGUAGAUAUUAGGAAGAACACCAGUGGCGAAGGCGGUUAGCUGGACAAUAACUGACGCUGAGGCGCGAAAGCGUGGGUAGCAAACAGGAUUAGAUACCCUGGUA